This 538-nucleotide ribosomal RNA is filed under the name uncultured bacterium. RNAcentral describes it as "bacterial SSU rRNA". It matches the Rfam family "Bacterial small subunit ribosomal RNA", at positions 8 to 526 of the family's 1533-position model. The record is from RNAcentral.
AGAGUUUGAUCAUGGCUCAGAACGAACGUUAGCGGCGCGCCUAACACAUGCAAGUCGCACGAGAAAGGGCUUCGGCCCCGGUACAGUGGCGCACGGGUGAGUAAUACGUGGAUAACCUUCCCUCUGGCGGGGGAUAACCUUCCGAAAGGAGGGCUAAUACCGCAUAAGACCACGCCGACGAAAGUCGAAGCGGUCAAAGCAGGCCUCUAUACAUAAGCUUGCACCAGAGAAUGGGUCCACGGCCCAUCAGCUAGUUGGCAGGGUAAUGGCCUACCAAGGCGAAGACGGGUAGCUGGUCUGAGAGGAUGAUCAGCCACACUGGAACUGAGACACGGUCCAGACUCCUACGGGAGGCAGCAGUGGGGAAUCUUGCGCAAUGGGCGAAAGCCUGACGCAGCGACGCCGCGUGAGUGAUGAAGGCCUUCGGGUUGUAAAGCUCUGUGGGGAGAGAAGAAUAAGUGUUGGCUAAUAUCCAGCAUGAUGACGGUAUCUCCUUAGCAAGCACCGGCUAACUCUGUGCCAGCAGCCGCGGUAAUAC